Mandrillus leucophaeus (drill) is the source of this 119-nucleotide ribosomal RNA. The record is from Ensembl. NCBI's taxonomy places the organism in Eukaryota, Metazoa, Chordata, Mammalia, Primates, Cercopithecidae.
GUCUAUUGCCAUACCACCCUGAACACGCCCAAUCUCAUCUGAUCUCACAAGCUAAGCAGGGUCAUGCCUGGUUAGUACUUGGUUGGGAGACCGUGUGGGAAUACCGGGUGCUGCAGGGU